This 445-nucleotide long non-coding RNA is filed under the name Marmota monax (woodchuck). The record is from RNAcentral. Lineage: Eukaryota; Metazoa; Chordata; Mammalia; Rodentia; Sciuridae.
UCAGGACACAGCGUGGCCAUGAGGGCUCCUGCUCAGCUCCUGGGGCUCUUGCUGCUCUGGCUCCCAGCUAAAGAGGGACAGCACUGGGGAUAUACUGAGUCCAAAGUGGUCUGUGUCAUGCUCUGAUGUCUAAUUGAGUGAAUAUUUAAUUCUUGUUUUCUAUGUCAGCUGCCAGAUGUGACAUCAUGAUGAUGCAAUCUCCUGCCUCCUUGUCUGCAUCUCAAGGAGACAGAGUCACCAUCACCUGCAGGGCCAGUCAGGGCAUUAGCAAUAAGUUAAACUGGUAUCAGCAGAAACAAGGGCAAGCUCCUAAGCUCCUCAUCAAAUAUGCAACCAGUUUGGAAUCUGAUGUCCCCUCAAUGUUCAGUGGCAGUGGAUCUGGCACAGAUUUCACUCUCACCAUCAGAAGCCAGGAGCCUGAAGAUGUUGCCAAUUAUUACUGUCU